This 117-nucleotide non-coding RNA is filed under the name Gorilla gorilla gorilla (western lowland gorilla). The record is from Rfam by way of RNAcentral. Lineage: Eukaryota; Metazoa; Chordata; Mammalia; Primates; Hominidae.
GCCGGGCGCGGUGGCUCACGCCUGUAAUCCCAGCACUUUGGGAGGCCGAGACAGGCGGAUCACCUGAGGUCAGGAGUUUGAGACCAGCCUGGCCAACAUGGAAAUACCCUGUCUCUU